CCCUUAGAUGUUCUGGGCCGCACGCGUGCUACACUGAGUGGAUCAGCGGGUCAGGUUGCGCGAAAGUGUUUCCUAAUCUUGAAAUCCGCUCGUGAUGGGGAUUGACGGUUGCAAUUUUCCGUCAUGAACGAGGAAUACCUUGUAAGCGCGGGUCAUCAUCCCGCGCUGAAUACGUCCCUGCCCUUUGUACACACCGCCGUCGCUCCUACCGAUUGAGUGGUCCGGUGAGGCUUUGGGAUCUGAGCGGAAAGAGCGUUUCGCUGUUUCUGCUCGGAAAACUCAGUCGAACCUUAUCAUUUAGAGGAAGGAGAAGUCGUAACA
This 321-nucleotide ribosomal RNA is filed under the name uncultured eukaryote. Its description in RNAcentral is "partial 18S ribosomal RNA". It matches the Rfam family "Eukaryotic small subunit ribosomal RNA", at positions 1470 to 1796 of the family's 1831-position model. The record is from RNAcentral.